This is a non-coding RNA of Potamilus streckersoni, 74 nucleotides long. Lineage: Eukaryota; Metazoa; Mollusca; Bivalvia; Unionida; Unionidae. The record is from the annotation of a GenBank genome assembly.
UGCUUCGUGGCUUAGUGGUUAGAUCGUCUGCCUCGGGUGCGAGAGGUCGUGGGUUCCAUCCCCGGUCGAGUCAU